CAGGACACAAGCGUGGCUUUGUGAUAGGGAAUAAAUAGUCAGGAUUUGCAUUCUGCAUUAUGCAAGCCAAAAGGUUGCUUUGAGCUUUUUAGUUAUGCCUUAAGGUGUCAAAAUUAAAAAAGAUUACACAGUUAUUGUUAUCUAUGUUCAGUGCGACUGUAAAGGAAAAUGACUGGAACGUUAUUAGGUAUUUCAUGUAGCCAAACCUUUUUUUUAGCAUUUUGCCUCUGUUGGAUACCGAUAGUGAAGAUAGACAGGAAGAAACACAGCAGGGGGCUACUGCCGCUGCUUUCUGCCCACACGGCACGUGGCCUGUCGCCUGGUCGCCUCUAAGCUAAAUCGGUGCCCACUUACAGCCCCAUCUUUGACACAAACUGCAUUUGUGGUCAGAAUGGGCAUGGAUGUCAUGGUAAUUGUGGGAUAUUAAUGGUUUCUUUGAACUGUUCUUUUUCUAAAGUGGAAUGAUGGUACAGCAUACAUGACUUUCUUUAAUUUUCUUUUUUUUGCCUGUCCCAUUUGGUUCAUUAGCCGUCAGAAUUGUUGUCUGAAAACCAACAAGGAUACCCAAUGGAUUUACUUUGCCAAAUGGAUCAUCGUGGCAUUGCCGUACUGGUCCAUUUGAUUGACCUUUGUUGUUAUUAUUUAUUUUAUUUUAUUUUAUAUCUUAUUUUAUUGAGAAAGGGCACUUAAAAAGAGAAAGAAGAGAAAAAUAUCUCCUGGAUCACCUGUUGAGAGAAAAAGAAGAGAAACAAGCAAAAAAAACCAUACUAAACACAAAACCAUCGCAUUAAUCUAGCUAAGUGUAAACAGCAGUAAAUACUAAAUAUUCAAUGUUGUUGUGCAGCACGCAGGACCGACAGCGCACAAUGUGCUUUGAAGUAGCAGCCAAGAAAGGUGCAGUUUUUAAAUUUAUCUGGGCUAGUGUAGAUGUAGCCUUGUGGAGGAGUAAAGGUGAGGCUUUUGAACUUAAGAACACUGUAGAAAAUACAAAAAAUAUUCAAACUUGAGCACCCAAUUCUUGUUUCGUAGUCAUUAAAGAUGUAUGUAUUGACGAAAUUAUUAUAAAC
Astatotilapia calliptera (eastern happy) is the source of this 1067-nucleotide long non-coding RNA. NCBI's taxonomy places the organism in Eukaryota, Metazoa, Chordata, Actinopteri, Cichliformes, Cichlidae. The record is from Ensembl.